Molecule: long non-coding RNA, 495 nt
Organism: Thamnophis elegans (Western terrestrial garter snake)
Lineage: Eukaryota; Metazoa; Chordata; Lepidosauria; Squamata; Natricidae
Exons: 3
Source: RefSeq, a predicted model, not a curated record
CUAUCCCGUCAUUCUCAGCGUGGAGCAGUAGAGUGGGACUCCUUGGAGUAUUCUAGAGCGGCAGGACCAGGCCAAAAUUUAACCGACAUGUCGGAGAAAAAUAAACCCGUAGAUUUGGGGCUUUUGGAAGAAGACGACGAGUUCGAGGAGUUUCCUGCGGAAGACUGGGCUGGUUUAGAUGAAGAUGAAGAUGCACAUGUGUGGGAAGAUAAUUGGGAUGAUGAUAAUGUAGAAGAUGAUUUCUCUAACCAGUUAAGAGCAGAACUGGAAAAGCAUUGCUACAAGAUGGAAACUGCAUAGCUUCUAAUAGCUUCUACAGGUUUUUUUGGCCUAAAAAAUCAGAAAUCUCCGCGGAACUAAGAGAAAAUUUACUUUUGAAUAACUAACAGUGUCAAAAGUAAAAUGCUAGCUAUCAUAAAUGCCAUACAAUGUUGAUAUAUUAAUGUUAUCUAUUAAUGUUAUCUAUUAAUAAAUAAAGAAAUUUUUAAAAAAAUG